GACAAAGGAUGCAAGCGUUAUCCGGAAUGAUUGGGCGUAAAGCGUAUGUAGGUGGCUUUUUAAGUCCGCCGUCAAAUCCCAGGGCUCAACCCUGGACAGGCGGUGGAAACUACCAAGCUGGAGCACGGUAGGGGCAGAGGGAAUUUCCGGUGGAGCGGUAAAAUGCGUAGAGAUCGGAAAGAACACCAACAGCGAAAGCACUCUGCUGGGCCGACACUGACACUGAGAGACGAAAGCUAGGGGAGUGAAUAGG
RNAcentral lists this ribosomal RNA (253 nucleotides) under uncultured bacterium. RNAcentral's name for it is "partial 16S ribosomal RNA". It matches the Rfam family "Bacterial small subunit ribosomal RNA", at positions 524 to 776 of the family's 1533-position model. The record is from RNAcentral.